Long non-coding RNA from Mercenaria mercenaria, 3001 nucleotides. RefSeq lists it as uncharacterized. The transcript has 3 exons. Lineage: Eukaryota; Metazoa; Mollusca; Bivalvia; Venerida; Veneridae. The record is from RefSeq and is a predicted model, not a curated record.
GGCAUAGCAACGCGCUGGAAAAGAAACCAACAGAAAACAGGCAAAUAUUAAAUGGAUGUCAUCAAGGAUGUACUUCAAAAUUCUUGUUGAGUAAAUACGGCAAUAAGACAUUCAGGUCUGCAUCUCGUAAGAUAUCGGAAGCCGUCUGACUUGGCCACAUCGCUCGGAAGUCCGAAGUACUAGAAAAAACCGCCAUCUGCUACCUUAAGACAUUUGUUAACUUUUGUCUGCAUCUCGUAAGAUAUCGGAAGCCGUCUGACUUGGCCACAUCGCUCGGAAGUCCGAAGUACUAGAAAAAACCGCCAUCUGCUACCUAAACAGAGAUUAGUCACCCGGUGCAUACGUACAAAAAUCCAAGAUGGUUGACAACUGUCAAAAUUUCAACUGACGUAAACUUUUAUCAGUCUUUACACAGUCAACAAUGGACAUUACAUGAAAACAUCGAUUUGAUUUAAUACAGCAGGUAAUUGUUGAAUGAACUGUUAUAAUAAUUCAGGCUGACACUGCGUACUUUUAUAAAGAGUCCCUGCGAAAGCUACAAUUACAGUUUCACUAACUGAAACAACUGCAUGACAUAAAUAAAGUCCUAAUAUUUUGGAAUGUAAUUUAGUAAACAAACAUUUAAUAAUUUGACUGGUUAUCUGUCAAUGCCUAGAAAUGUUACAGAACAAUGAACUAUGAUUUAAGAGUAGCUGACAGAUAGCCUAACAAUUUUGAAAUCAAAAAUGAAAAACUACUGAUAGGCCGUAAAAGCAAUACAAAACAAUUGCAUGAAACGAGGUCGUGAGGCCUCAUGCCUCUAAUACGCUCGAAUAUGGUUCGAAUCUUUGUACUGCCAUUAUAAAGUAAUGGUUUCAAUAACUUCAAUACAAUUGCAGUACAAUUGCUUUUAGACAGAAGGUAGAACACACAUGCAUAUAUUGCAUUUACAGAUUUCCAAUUAAUUAAUUAUCAAAUAUAUAAUCAAUUUGAUAAAUUUCAUAGAUGCUACAUUUACGCUAUGCAUUUAAACAAUUAUCAUAUGUACCAUUUCCAACAUUUAUAAAUAAUUCAUAUAGACACCAGAAUUCGAACCUGUAACCACAUUGCAUCACAGAUUUUAGGCAGUACCAUACUUAAUAAUAAACACAACAUUUUGGACAAGUACAUGAGAUUUUGUCUUUUCAACAAUUGAGCAAUUUGUCCUUUGAGCAAUACAAUGUAUAACAAAAAUAACAGCAUUCUUAACAAUAUAUAACAAUAAAUAACAAUUGUUACAGUACUUCGUUUAUUCCAGGGCUCAGUAAUAUUCAACAGUUGAACUUGAAAUGUACCAAAUACUUCUAACAGAAUGUUGAAAAUUUAUCAGAUGAUUACUUAACCACUGACUGACAACAGUGCUAAAUGAAGUGACAAAGUCAGAAAUCUACUUUAACUUAUAAAAGUUAAAAUACUAAAGAUAUACGUAUACCUUUAUUAUAUCAGAGGUAAAUAUUACCAAAAUUUUUACCUUUAACCAACUGUUACCGUACUGAUACCAAAAAAUUUACUAUAAAUGUGGUAACAAUAGCAUUUCUUGAAAACAACUAGUUUACUGUUAACAGAUUAAAGUCCUACAAAAAAAAAUGUCACAAAAAGUAGCCCAGACCAAAAAAUACACUUAAAAUUUUUCUAACAGACCCUCAUUAUUAAAUUAUUAUUAAAUGUGAAAUUUCCUCACUAGUAGGGGACCUAUGUUGGGAUCUUCCUGCUGGAAUGUCGACCAGUACACCUCUAGUGUAUCCUCCAGCGUGCUUUCAGUAUUUCUCAGAGGGUCAGUAUUCUUAUUUGAACCUAGAAAACUCAUCUCGGUACCAUUUAUCGACAGAUCACCUACCAGAGCUCUUGGUUGGUCAUCUGUAACUUCACUCUGAUUCUUUCCUGUAUAACCAUUCCGUUCUUUCUCAUGCUAACUCUGAAUACCUUCAAGGUAAGCUUGACUGACAAUCCCAGCAACACGGGGUCCCAUGCACUGAGUCAAUUCUUCUUCUGUCUCUUUAUCAUUAUCAUUGUCUGCUUGGAAUGAAGGUUGACGGAUUUGCCUCCCUUAGUCCACUCAUAGAAUUUGUAGGGUUUAAGGUCGACGGAAUUGUCUCCCUUGGUUUAUCAAUUGAUUUAACCUAGCUGAAGGUCGGACCUCUCUUUCAGCUAAUAACCAUUUCCCUGGUUCUGUGGUCUAGUACCUUGACUACUUUAUGCCAUCUAAUGGUUCAUUUUGGAUCAUCCGGGAAUACGAACCUCGUCUUGUAUAAUUUAAUUCUGUAUUUUUAUUUUACAUUUUUGUAUUUGGGUUUUACGGCGCACCAACACAGUAUAGGUUAUAUGGCGCCAAACAGGACUACAAAUUUUGGUUUCAUAUCUCAUUUACAUCGAAAUAAAAACAUGAGGUAUGGAAUCAAAAUUUUCAUACCUGCUGGAAUCACAGAGUUACAGCAAAACCAAGUGUUGAGACCCUAUUAGUCGCCUCUUAUGAUCAUGCAAGGGUAAGGCAGUGAUUCCAAUUAUUUUCAUACACAGAUCGUCCCAGAACCACAUAAUUUAUUUCUGAUUCUACAGCUAAUCCGAGGGCCUCGGACAUUGCUACUAUCAGGUCUCUGCGUAACUGGUCAUCGUUCAGGGACUCUGCAAAAGCUUCAAGGGCCAUCUCUUCCCAACAUUUCAUAUCAAGAUCAGGAUAGGCUAAUCUAACCAUCUUUUUGAUGUCAUUAGCUAGUUCAUCUAGUGAUUCAUUUCGUUUUCUGAUGCGGGCUCUUAAUUUGGCAACAUGGAGUCUUCUCUGGUUUUGUGGUUGAAACCUAUCAAUCAGGCUACCAACAAUUAAAUCAUAGUCUCUACGCCUUUCUGGAGGAAUAUCAUUCAAUAUUUCAGCCACAGCGCCUCUCAAGGAAACAGCUAAUUGAAGCGCUUUCUUUUCAAAAGACUAAUGAUUUAAGUCACUGGUCAUAUCAAAUUGCGUUAAAUAGGAAUUAAGGUCAGUUGUGCU